UACGUAGGUCCCGAGCGUUGUCCGGAUUUAUUGGGCGUAAAGCGAGCGCAGGUGGUUUAUUAAGUCUAGUGUAAAAGGCAGUGGCUCAACCAUUGUAUGCAUUGGAAACUGGUAGACUUGAGUGCAGGAGAGGAGAGUGGAAUUCCAUGUGUAGCGGUGAAAUGCGUAGAUAUAUGGAGGAACACCGGUGGCGAAAACGGCUCUCUGGCCUGUAACUGACACUGAGGCUCGAAAGCGUGGGGAGCAAACAGG
This 252-nucleotide ribosomal RNA is filed under the name uncultured bacterium. Its description in RNAcentral is "partial 16S ribosomal RNA". It matches the Rfam family "Bacterial small subunit ribosomal RNA", at positions 524 to 776 of the family's 1533-position model. The record is from RNAcentral.